CCUCUCUCAUCCCUCAACCCACGAUCAAAACCCUUUCUCUCUCAUUUCUAAACCCUAGUCGCUGCAAAAUCAGAGAAACUUCACUGGAAAAGUCGAUUUCUGCCGGAUUAACGCCCUUCGUUCGACGCAACAACGUUUUAAUCGGUGGAAGAUUUGCAAUCGACAACAAGAUCCAGAAUGACAAAAAGAGGCCGACCUUUCAAAAGCCAACCCACCCAUACUGCAGCGAAGCAACCUAGGUUGGACAUUGACGAAGCGAUGGAUGAUGUUCUUCCAAUUGCGAUUGCGCAAAAUUUCAGGAAGAAAGUCGGCCAUCUCUACUGUCGACGGACCCCAACCGAGUUCCUGAACUGUUUAAAAAGCCUAACUCCACGCCAGA
Salvia splendens (bonfire salvia) is the source of this 379-nucleotide long non-coding RNA. RefSeq lists it as uncharacterized. The transcript has 3 exons. Lineage: Eukaryota; Viridiplantae; Streptophyta; Magnoliopsida; Lamiales; Lamiaceae. The record is from RefSeq and is a predicted model, not a curated record.